UCUCUGGUGGUCCAGUUGUUAGAACUCUGUGCUUCCACUGCAGGGGGCCCAGGUUUGAUUCCUGGAUGGAGAA
Molecule: transfer RNA, 73 nt
Filed under: Ovis aries (sheep)
Lineage: Eukaryota; Metazoa; Chordata; Mammalia; Artiodactyla; Bovidae
Rfam family: tRNA
About the family: Transfer RNA (tRNA) molecules are approximately 80 nucleotides in length. Their secondary structure includes four short double-helical elements and three loops (D, anti-codon, and T loops). Further hydrogen bonds mediate the characteristic L-shaped molecular structure. tRNAs have two regions of fundamental functional importance: the anti-codon, which is responsible for specific mRNA codon recognition, and the 3' end, to which the tRNAs corresponding amino acid is attached (by aminoacyl-tRNA synthetases). tRNAs cope with the degeneracy of the genetic code in two manners: having more than one tRNA (with a specific anti-codon) for a particular amino acid; and 'wobble' base-pairing, i.e. permitting non-standard base-pairing at the 3rd anti-codon position.
Source: Rfam by way of RNAcentral